UACGUAGGGCGCAAGCGUUAUCCGGAAUUAUUGGGCGUAAAGAGCUCGUAGGCGGUUUGUCGCGUCUGCCGUGAAAGUCCGGGGCUCAACUCCGGAUCUGCGGUGGGUACGGGCAGACUAGAGUGAUGUAGGGGAGACUGGAAUUCCUGGUGUAGCGGUGAAAUGCGCAGAUAUCAGGAAGAACACCGAUGGCGAAGGCAGUUCUCUGGGCCGUAACUGACGCUGAGGAGCGAAAGCGUGGGGAGCGAACAGG
This 253-nucleotide ribosomal RNA is filed under the name uncultured bacterium. RNAcentral describes it as "partial 16S ribosomal RNA". It matches the Rfam family "Bacterial small subunit ribosomal RNA", at positions 524 to 776 of the family's 1533-position model. The record is from RNAcentral.